This 371-nucleotide ribosomal RNA is filed under the name uncultured bacterium. RNAcentral's name for it is "bacterial SSU rRNA". It matches the Rfam family "Bacterial small subunit ribosomal RNA", at positions 527 to 896 of the family's 1533-position model. The record is from RNAcentral.
AGAGGGUGCGAGCGUUGUCCGGAAUUACUGGGCGUAAAGGGCGCGUAGGCGGCUUGAUAAGUAUGGGGUGAAAUCUCACGGCUCAACCGUGAGGCUGCCUUGUAGACUGUCAGGCUUGAGCACGGUAGAGGCAGAUGGAGUUCCCGGUGUAGCGGUGGAAUGCGUAGAGAUCGGGAAGAACACCAGUGGCGAAGGCGGUCUGCUGGGCCGUAGCUGACGCUGAUGCGCGACAGCGUGGGGAGCAAACAGGAUUAGAUACCCUGGUAGUCCACGCCGUAAACGAUGGGCACUAGGCGUCGGGGGGAGCGACCCUCCCGGUGCCGUCGCUAACGCUGUAAGUGCCCCGCCUGGGGAGUACGGCCGCAAGGCUG